GGGGGCGGGGCCAGCGACAUCAAGUCUGAGGGGACAGAAGAGACAAUCAGCGCGGUGGAGAUUUAGAAGCAGAGUGAGGACUCACUGUUGGACGGAGGAUCUUUGCAUUCCCCCUCCUCGAUGGUGACGUCAUCGAUGGCGAUGUCUCCCUCGAUGCCGGCGCCGCGCACGCCCUCCAUCACCACCUGGCGUGGAGAACGCAGGGUGUGCACCAGUGACCAGGCAAAGAGUUUUUCUAAAGAUGAAUGACAACGUUGGACUAAGACGUGGGUCACCAGGUUCCCCCUUUGGAGCCAGGCCUGGGGGCGAGGCUCAUGGAGACCACGGGGAAGACCCAGGACACGGUGGAGAGACUAUGUCUCCCAACUAGCCUGGGAACACCUCUGGAUCACCCGGGAGGCCCUAUUCCUACUAUCUGGGGAAAG
Molecule: long non-coding RNA, 425 nt
Organism: Nerophis lumbriciformis (worm pipefish)
Lineage: Eukaryota; Metazoa; Chordata; Actinopteri; Syngnathiformes; Syngnathidae
Source: RefSeq, a predicted model, not a curated record